This 417-nucleotide ribosomal RNA is filed under the name uncultured Polynucleobacter sp. Its description in RNAcentral is "bacterial SSU rRNA". It matches the Rfam family "Bacterial small subunit ribosomal RNA", at positions 433 to 844 of the family's 1533-position model. The record is from RNAcentral. Lineage: Bacteria; Pseudomonadati; Pseudomonadota; Betaproteobacteria; Burkholderiales; Burkholderiaceae.
CUUUUGUCAGGCAAGAAACACCGGCUCUAACACAGUCCGGGAAUGACGGUACCUGAAGAAUAAGCACCGGCUAACUACGUGCCAGCAGCCGCGGUAAUACGUAGGGUGCGAGCGUUAAUCGGAAUUACUGGGCGUAAAGCGUGCGCAGGCGGUUAUACAAGACAGGCGUGAAAUCCCCGGGCUUAACCUGGGAAUGGCGCCUGUGACUGUAUAGCUAGAGUGUGUCAGAGGGGGGUAGAAUUCCACGUGUAGCAGUGAAAUGCGUAGAUAUGUGGAGGAAUACCAAUGGCGAAGGCAGCCCCCUGGGAUAACACUGACGCUCAUGCACGAAAGCGUGGGGAGCAAACAGGAUUAGAUACCCUGGUAGUCCACGCCCUAAACGAUGCUGACUAGUUGUUCGGGAUUUACAUCCUGAGU